Molecule: small nucleolar RNA, 138 nt
Organism: Ornithorhynchus anatinus (platypus)
Lineage: Eukaryota; Metazoa; Chordata; Mammalia; Monotremata; Ornithorhynchidae
Source: RefSeq, a predicted model, not a curated record
AGCCUCUCAGGAUGGCACCUGGAGAGUUUCCCGUAGUCUACCAGUCUCGGAUAUGGGAGGGCGAGGCAAGCAGAGGCCUGUCCAUUCCAUUCCUAGCUUGGCCAGUGGCUGGAGAGUGGAAGGCCAUCUGCCUCAAGU